UACGUAGGGUGCGAGCGUUAAUCGGAAUUACUGAGCGUAAAGCGUGCGCAGGCGGUCCGCAAAGUCUGAUGUGAAAGCCCCGGGCUCAACCUGGGAACUGCAUUGGAAACUAACGGGCUCGAGUGUGGCAGAGGGGGGUGGAAUUCCACGUGUAGCAGUGAAAUGCGUAGAGAUGUGGAGGAACACCGAUGGCGAAGGCAGCCCCCUGGGCUAACACUGACGCUCAGGCACGAAAGCGUGGGGAGCAAACAGG
Molecule: ribosomal RNA, 253 nt
Filed under: uncultured bacterium
Lineage: Bacteria
Description: partial 16S ribosomal RNA
Rfam family: Bacterial small subunit ribosomal RNA
Source: RNAcentral